This 612-nucleotide long non-coding RNA is filed under the name Numida meleagris (helmeted guineafowl). RNAcentral's name for it is "lncRNA (ENSNMEG00000018837.1)". The record is from RNAcentral. Lineage: Eukaryota; Metazoa; Chordata; Aves; Galliformes; Numididae.
UUUUGUACCACACAAGAUCAGAAACAGCUCUGUCUUGCAGGAAAGCACAUUCCACACCUGGGAAUCCCCUCACCAAGAAGUGUUAAUAUAACUGACCAUAUGUUAUGCACUGCACUACUGCUGCUGCUAAGACAGCUCUUUCUCCACAGGUGAGGAGGCCUUGAUGUAUGCCAUCAGCUGGGUGGGGAGUGAAGCCUUAGGGGAGAUGAGGAAGUAGCUGGGGGGUUCAGGUUGCUGAAUGCAACAGGUGGGAUUCCGGCCGUGUUUCAGGAUCAGCUGAGAUGCACACUGUUCAUCUUUCCAUCAUCUUCUCUUGGGCAGGAAGCCUAUGUGCGACAACAUUUAAUUUUCCGUCACUUCUGCAGUGUUCUUCUAACUGAGAAGCAGGAAAAGAUGUCAUUUACUAGCAGCAACACUUUAUAAAGGAGGCCCAGCUACUGUAAAACGAAUAAUCUCAAACUAUCAGCUCUCUUGAAAAACAAGUAUACUUCUCAUCAUUGGUGGAAGCAUGCCUGAACCAGAAAAAGGAGUUGUGUCUUACAAUGUGUUGGGCAUAGCAUCCUCAGUAACAGGUAUUCUUAAAAAGCGUGAACUUUCCCUACCCAAAUUAAU